This 253-nucleotide ribosomal RNA is filed under the name uncultured bacterium. RNAcentral's name for it is "partial 16S ribosomal RNA". It matches the Rfam family "Bacterial small subunit ribosomal RNA", at positions 524 to 776 of the family's 1533-position model. The record is from RNAcentral.
UACGGGGGGGGCAAGCGUUGUUCGGAAUUACUGGGCGUAAAGGGCUUGUAGGUGGCCAACUAAGUCAGACGUGAAAUCCCUCGGCUUAACCGGGGAACUGCGUCUGAUACUGGUUGGCUUGAAUCCGGGAGAGGGAUGUGGAAUUCCAGGUGUAGCGGUGAAAUGCGUAGAUAUCUGGAGGAACACCGGUGGCGAAGGCGGCAUCCUGGACCGGUAUUGACGCUGAGGAGCGAAAGCCAGGGGAGCAAACGGG